This 1393-nucleotide ribosomal RNA is filed under the name Thomasclavelia cocleata. RNAcentral's name for it is "bacterial LSU rRNA". It matches the Rfam family "Bacterial large subunit ribosomal RNA", at positions 1533 to 2925 of the family's 2925-position model. Lineage: Bacteria; Bacillati; Bacillota; Erysipelotrichia; Erysipelotrichales; Coprobacillaceae. The record is from RNAcentral.
CAGGCAAAUCCGGCUGUCGAAAGGCGAAGACGUGAAGCGGAUGGAAAGCUGAGGCAAGUACAGAAGUCCGUGAAGCAGGCUUCCAAGAAAAGCUUCUAGUGUUAAUCAUACAGUAACCCGUACCGAAAAUGGACACACAUGGGUGAGGAGAGAAUCCUAAGGUGAGCGAGAGAACUAUAGCUAAGGAACUCUGCAAAAUGACUCCGUAACUUAGGGAUAAGGAGUGCUCAUAGAGAUAUGAGCCGCAGUGAAACGGCCCAAGCGACUGUUUACCAAAAACACAGCUCUAUGCUAAGUCGAAAGACGACGUAUAUGGGGUGACGCCUGCCCGGUGCUGGAAGGUUAAGAGGAUGUGUCAGCGAAAGCGAAGCAUUGAAUUGAAGCCCCAGUAAACGGCGGCCGUAACUAUAACGGUCCUAAGGUAGCGAAAUUCCUUGUCAGGUAAGUUCUGACCCGCACGAAAGGCGUAACGAUUUGGGCGCUGUCUCAGCUGUAGACUCGGUGAAGUCUUAGUACCUGUGAAGAUGCAGGUUACCCGCGACUAGACGGAAAGACCCCAUGGAGCUUUACUGCAGCUUGAUAUUGGACUUUGAUGCAAGAUGUACAGGAUAGGUAGGAGACUGAGAGACAUGCACGCCAGUGUGUGAGGAGUCGAUGUUGGGAUACUACUCUUCUUGUAUUGGAGUUCUAACCGGAUGCCAUGGAACUGGCAACGGGACAGUGUCAGGCGGGCAGUUUGACUGGGGCGGUCGCCUCCCAAAGAGUAACGGAGGCGCCCAAAGAUACCCUCAGCUUGGAUGGAAAUCAAGCGCAGAGUGCAAAGGCAAAAGGGUGUUUGACUGCGAGACCAACAAGUCGAGCAGGGACGAAAGUCGGGCUUAGUGAUCCGGCGGUGCUGAAUGGAAAGGCCGUCGCUCAACGGAUAAAAGCUACCCUGGGGAUAACAGGCUGAUCUCCCCCAAGAGUUCACAUCGACGGGGAGGUUUGGCACCUCGAUGUCGGCUCAUCGCAUCCUGGAGCUGAAGUCGGUUCCAAGGGUUGGGCUGUUCGCCCAUUAAAGCGGUACGCGAGCUGGGUUCAGAACGUCGUGAGACAGUUCGGUCCCUAUCUGUCGUGGGCGCAGGAAGUUUGAGAAGAUCUGUCCUCAGUACGAGAGGACCGGGAUGGACAUAUCAAUGGUGCACCAGUUGUCACGCCAGUGGCACAGCUGGGUAGCUAAAUAUGGAAGGGAUAAACGCUGAAGGCAUCUAAGUGUGAAACCCGCUUCAAGAUGAGACUUCCCAUUACGAAAGUAGGUAAGACCCCUUAAAGACGAUAAGGUUGAUAGGUCAGGAGUGUAAGCAUGGCGACAUGUUAAGCGGACUGAUACUAAUAGGUCGAGGACUUAACCUAG